This 166-nucleotide ribosomal RNA is filed under the name uncultured bacterium. Its description in RNAcentral is "partial 16S ribosomal RNA". It matches the Rfam family "Bacterial small subunit ribosomal RNA", at positions 201 to 353 of the family's 1533-position model. The record is from RNAcentral.
CCAAAGAGGGGGACCUUCGGGCCUCUUGCCAUCGGAUGUGCCCAGAUGGGAUUAGCUAGUAGGUGGGGUAACGGCUCACCUAGGCGACGAUCCCUAGCUGGUCUGAGAGGAUGACCAGCCACACUGGAACUGAGACACGGUCCAGACUCCUACGGGAGGCAGCAUG